CCUACGGGUGGCUGCAGUGGGGAAUAUUGCACAAUGGGGGAAACCCUGAUGCAGCGACGCCGCGUGAAGGAAGAAGUAUUUCGGUAUGUAAACUUCUAUCAGCAGGGAAGAAAAUGACGGUACCUGACUAAGAAGCCCCGGCUAACUACGUGCCAGCAGCCGCGGUAAUACGUAGGGGGCAAGCGUUAUCCGGAUUUACUGGGUGUAAAGGGAGCGUAGGCGGUGAUGGAAGUCAGAAGUGAAAGCCCGCAGCGCAACUGCGGGACUGCUUUUGAAACUGUAUGACUAGAUUGCAGGAGAGGUAAGUGGAAUUCCUGGGGUAGCGGUGAAAUGCGUAGAUAUUAGGAGGAACACCAGUGGCGAAGGCGGCUUACUGGACUGUAAAUGACGCUGAGGCUCGAAAGCGUGGGGAGCAAACAGGAUUAGAUACCCUAGUAGUC
RNAcentral lists this ribosomal RNA (440 nucleotides) under uncultured bacterium. Its description in RNAcentral is "partial 16S ribosomal RNA". It matches the Rfam family "Bacterial small subunit ribosomal RNA", at positions 338 to 795 of the family's 1533-position model. The record is from RNAcentral.